GCCUCUGUAGCUCAAUGGAAGAGCUGCUCCGUCCUAAGGAGAAGGUUGGGGGUUCGAGUCCCUCCAGGGGCACCG
Molecule: transfer RNA, 75 nt
Filed under: Leifsonia aquatica ATCC 14665
Lineage: Bacteria; Bacillati; Actinomycetota; Actinomycetes; Micrococcales; Microbacteriaceae
Also listed under: 1 other name
Description: tRNA-Arg
Rfam family: tRNA
About the family: Transfer RNA (tRNA) molecules are approximately 80 nucleotides in length.
Source: RNAcentral